This 468-nucleotide ribosomal RNA is filed under the name uncultured bacterium. RNAcentral's name for it is "partial 16S ribosomal RNA". It matches the Rfam family "Bacterial small subunit ribosomal RNA", at positions 28 to 507 of the family's 1533-position model. The record is from RNAcentral.
GACGAACGCUGGCGGCGUGCUUAACACAUGCAAGUCGAACGGAAAGGCCCUGCUUUUGUGGGGUGCUCGAGUGGCGAACGGGUGAGUAACACGUGAGUAACCUGCCCUUGACUUUGGGAUAACUUCAGGAAACUGGGGCUAAUACCGGAUAGGAGCUCCUGCUGCAUGGUGGGGGUUGGAAAGUUUCGGCGGUUGGGGAUGGACCCGCGGCUUAUCAGCUUGUUGGUGGGGUAGUGGCUUACCAAGGCUGUGACGGGUAGCCGGCCUGGGAGGGUGACCGGCCACAUGGGGACUGAGAUACGGCCCAGAAUCCUACGGGAGGCAGCAGUGGGGAAUAUUGCACAAUGGGCGGAAGCCUGAUGCAGCAACGCCGCGUGCGGGAUGACGGCCUUCGGGUUGUAAACCGCUUUCGCCUGUGACGAAGCGUGAGUGACGGUAAUGGGUAAAGAAGCACCGGCUAACUACGUG